This 720-nucleotide ribosomal RNA is filed under the name Otites centralis. RNAcentral describes it as "partial 12S ribosomal RNA". Lineage: Eukaryota; Metazoa; Arthropoda; Insecta; Diptera; Ulidiidae. The record is from RNAcentral.
AUGUAAGGGUUUGCGUGAAAAUUUAUUUAUUUGAAUAGUAAUUAAUGUUUAUUGUAGCCGCAGUAAUUAAUAUUAUUAAUAGGGGGAACCUUGAAAUAGUGAUUCUAUUUAGUAUUGGCUAAAUUUGUGCCAGCAGCCGCGGUUAUACUUAUAAUACAAAUAAAUUAUAAUUAGUAAAAGUAAAAUUUUUUUAAGAUAAAAUAUUGAUUUAUCUAUUAGGUGAAAUUUUGGGUGGAUAGAUUUUUUUAGUUUGACUAGUUGAAGCUUAUAAAUUUUAAUUAAAGACUAGGAUUAGAUACCCUAUUAUUUAAAAUGUAAAUUUCUUACUAAGGUAGUAAUAGUUAUUUUCUAGAAACUUAAAAAAUUUGGCGGUAUUUUAGUCUAUUCGGAGGAACUUGUUCUGUAAUCGAUAAUCCACGAUGGACCUUACUUAUAUUUGUAUUUCAGUUUAUAUACCGUCGUUAUUAGAAUAUUUUAUUAGAACAAUAAUUUUCUAGUUUUUUAAGGAAAAUAUAUAUCAGAUCAAGAUGUAGCUAAUAUUUAAGUAGAAAUGAGUUACAAUAAAUUUAUUUAAACGGAGUUAAAUUUGAAAAGUUUAAUAAAGGUGGAUUUGAUAGUAAAAUUAUAUAGAUUAUUAAUUUGAUUUUAGCUCUAAGAUAUGCACACAUCGCCCGUCGCUCUUAUUAUUAAGGUAAGAUAAGUCGUAACAUAGUAGAUGUA